Molecule: ribosomal RNA, 492 nt
Filed under: uncultured bacterium
Lineage: Bacteria
Description: bacterial SSU rRNA
Rfam family: Bacterial small subunit ribosomal RNA
Source: RNAcentral
UGAACGCUGGCGGCGUGCCUAAUACAUGCAAGUCGUACGAGGGAAGUCCAGCUUGCUGGACGGAACGAGUGGCGAACGGGUGAGUAAUACGUAAGCAACCUGCCUGCAAGGACUGGGAUAACACCUGGAAACGGGCGCUAAUACCGGAUAGGUAACGGAGGGCAUCCUUCUGUUAUAAGGUUAAAAACACAAGCAGAUGGGCUUACGGUGCAUUAGCUAGUUGGUGAGGUAACGGCCCACCAAGGCGAUGAUGCAUAGCCGGCCUGAGAGGGUGAACGGCCACAUUGGGACUGAGACACGGCCCAGACUCCUACGGGAGGCAGCAGUAGGGAAUUUUCGGCAAUGGACGCAAGUCUGACCGAGCAACGCCGCGUGAGUGAAGAAGGUUUUCGGAUUGUAAAGCUCUGUUGUAAGGGAAGAACAGCACGGAGAGAAUCCGUGAAUGACGGUACCUUACCAGAAAGCCACGGCUAACUACGUGCCAGCCGCAGC